CCUACGGGCGGCAGUGGGGAAUAUUGGACAAUGGGCGAAAGCCUGAUCCAGCCAUGCCGCGUGUGUGAAGAAGGCCUUCGGGUUGUAAAGCACUUUCAGUGGGGAAGAAAGCCUUGGGGCUAAUACCCUCGAGGAAGGACAUCACCCACAGAAGAAGCACCGGCUAACUCCGUGCCAGCAGCCGCGGUAAUACGGAGGGUGCGAGCGUUAAUCGGAAUUACUGGGCGUAAAGCGCGCGUAGGCGGUCUGAUAAGCCGGUUGUGAAAGCCCCGGGCUCAACCUGGGAACGGCAUCCGGAACUGUCAGGCUAGAGUGCAGGAGAGGAAGGUAGAAUUCCCGGUGUAGCGGUGAAAUGCGUAGAGAUCGGGAGGAAUACCAGUGGCGAAGGCGGCCUUCUGGACUGACACUGACGCUGAGGUGCGAAAGCGUGGGUAGCAAACAGGAUUAGAUACCCUUGUAGUC
Molecule: ribosomal RNA, 462 nt
Filed under: Vreelandella stevensii
Lineage: Bacteria; Pseudomonadati; Pseudomonadota; Gammaproteobacteria; Oceanospirillales; Halomonadaceae
Description: partial 16S ribosomal RNA
Rfam family: Bacterial small subunit ribosomal RNA
Source: RNAcentral